Hylaeus anthracinus is the source of this 2247-nucleotide long non-coding RNA. RefSeq lists it as uncharacterized. The record is from RefSeq and is a predicted model, not a curated record. The transcript is spliced from 3 exons. Lineage: Eukaryota; Metazoa; Arthropoda; Insecta; Hymenoptera; Colletidae.
AAGUAGGAAAGCUUUGGGUAUUGAUCACCAGGGAGCUACGAGUUGCUACGCUCCUGAUUUGGCUAGGUUAGGUUCGCUAAAAACCUAACCUAGCGAAAUUGCUGUAAUAUGCAUUUUGUUUAGCAAAAUUGUAGUUUAUUUAUUUAAUUCAUAAUGAUUUUUGUAAUGCGAGAAUCAAAUUAAAGCAUGUUCAAUUUUGAGGUUAAUUUAGUAUUGUAUAAUAAUAAUGUAUAAUAAUACAUAAUUAUAUUGUAUAAUAAUAAUGUAUAAUACUUUAGUAUUGUAUAAUAGUAUUUAGUAAUUGGUGUUCAUAAAUGAAUACUGAUUUAGUAUUUUCUCAGGUAUCUAUUUGGACUAAUAACUUCUUUUAAACGAUAGGGCCUGCUGCAGAUAAUUGUUUCGCAUACUCUGUUAUAAUAUUACUUCAAUUUAAAUGUAUUACAAAUUUCCAUAUUCAUUGAACUUUAAUGUAAAUUAUUCCAUAGGAAGCUUAAAUACACAUUUUUCAUCAAUAAACACAUGUUAUCGACACCAAUUAUUGAAAUACAUGUAACUAUCUUUAUACCAUACAAAUAUAUCUACUACGGCACUCUUAUUUAUCCCUUCAGGGGCUGUAGCUAUGUUCAAUCAUAGCUGCAGUACGGGUUUGGCAAUCCCGAUGUACCCAAACUAACUGUAUGAAUGGGAGGAGUCUCAAAUAUGUAUGUAUAAGUUUCCGUAAUACAAGGGCUCCCUUUAUGAUAAUAAUAUUAAGGAGUAUUUAUUGCUACCAUGGCCAAUAUUACUACUGCCAUGAUCUGGAAUACCUUCGUACCAGUAAUACUUUCAAUAUUGCAAUUAUUACUUACAAUAGCACAGUAGUAUAUUAUUUAAAAUUAGAGUAUUUAUAUGAGUUUGCGUAAUACAAAGGCUCCCUUUGCAAUAAUAAUAUUAAGGAGUAUUUGUUGCUACCGUAGCCAAUAUUACUACUGCCAUGAUCUGGAAUACCUUCAUACCAGUAAUACUUUCAAUAUUGCAAUUAUUACUUACAAAAUGACAGUAAUAUAUUAUUUAAAAUUAGAGUCCCAGAAUUGGACGACCUGAAAAAUGGUUCCUUAUUGGUCACAACUUCUACGCCAUCAUCCCUUGAGGCGUGGGGGCCGUUAUUAACCGCGACGCUUCCGUCCUGCAACAUAUUACAUUGACCCUGUAACACACAUAAGUCCCAAGGGAAGAGCCCAAAGAAAGGGCGUGGAAGUUGCGAUCAAAGGAGGAGAAACAGGUUUCCCUUUAUUCGCAGGCCGUCGACUCCCUGGUCGAUGCUCCUACGGCAAUGUGGUUCAACGACUUUCCUGCCCGUACAAAAUACACCAACCUUAGGCAUUUCUUCGACCUUCCAGAUUACAUCACGGUCCUGUAAUCGCUCCACGAGACUGGACGUUUCUUCAGGAGGAAAGAUACCUGAGUUGAGUCCAUCGACUCCAUUGUGUGAAUGUUGUUAAACUUGGGUAAUGUUGGUUUUAUGAGAAAAAUUAAUUUGUUUAAUGAAUUUUAGGAUUGGCUGUGUCCUUCUGUGAAUGAUGCAUUGUUUAUUUCAGAUUGCAAUGAUGCAAUUAGAAUGUAGGUAAAGGAGGACUGUCCAUAGACGUAGGAUUGGAACAAUUGGAAAGAUUCUGGCAAUUUGGAAAGAUACCUGAGUUGAGUCCAUCGACUCCAUUGAUUGGCUGUGUCCUUGUGUGAAUGAUGCAUUGUUUAUUUCAGAUUGCAAUGAUGCAAUUAGAAUGUAGGCCCAUCUGACGUUACAAAGGAAGCUCCGUUACGGUUCGGUCCAGAGGCUAUUUCUGGCCGUUAACUCGCAGGAGAGAUGAAGAAAUAGAUGAAGAGGUAAAAAGAAAUGCCUCGAAUGUGCACAUUAGGCGCGGCAAGAAAAGAGCAGCGACGGAACAGGUGCCUCGCAGGAAACUCGGCAUUGUCGGGGCUCCAAGGACACGCCGUUAUAAAAACUCUUCCAUCCCAUUCGAGCUAGCAUAAAAAAAGGGCCCCGUAGGGAAAAGGCGCGGGAGAGAGGCAGGGACAGAGGAGGGAUGACCUUGGAGGGUAGGGUUGUCCAACAUAGUGCGCAUAGAUGCGUAAAUUAUGCGCCACUUUCUAGGCGGAGCCCGAACACUGGUAUAUUUUCAGGCUUCUACAUUGCUGGAAAACCGCUUUGGAAUCUCUUUAAUAAAUAGACUAGGGAUAUUUAUGCAGAAUAAAUUAUCGUGGGCUUAC